This 432-nucleotide ribosomal RNA is filed under the name uncultured bacterium. Its description in RNAcentral is "bacterial SSU rRNA". It matches the Rfam family "Bacterial small subunit ribosomal RNA", at positions 79 to 532 of the family's 1533-position model. The record is from RNAcentral.
UUGCAGGCAGGGAUUAGUGGCGCACGGGUGAGUAAUAUAUAGGUAACGUGCCUCUUAGUCUGGGAUAGCCAUUGGAAACGAUGAUUAAUACUAGAUACUCCUUCUGAUUUUAAUAUCAGUUGGGAAAGUUUUUCGCUAAGAGAUCGGCCUAUUUCCCAUCAGCUAGUUGGUAGUGUAAGAGACUACCAAGGCAAUGACGGGUAGCGGGUUUGAGAGGAUGAUCCGCCACACUGGUACUGAGACACGGACCAGACUCCUACGGGAGGCAGCAGUGAGGAAUAUUGCACAAUGGAGGAAACUCUGAUGCAGCAACGCCGCGUGGAGGAUGACGCAUUUCGGUGUGUAAACUCCUUUUAUAUGUCAAGAAAAUGACGGUNGCAUAUGAAUAAGCACCGGCUAACUCCGUGCCAGCAGCCGCGGUAAUACGGGGGG